CAGCAGCCACGGUAAUACGAAGGGGGCUAGCGUUGUUCGGAAUUACUGGGCGUAAAGCGCACGUAGGCGGAUACUUAAGUUAGGGGUGAAAUCCCAGGGCUCAACCCUGGAACUGCCUUUAAUACUGGGUAUCUUGAGUUCGAGAGAGGUAAGUGGAAUUCCGAGUGUAGAGGUGAAAUUCGUAGAUAUUCGGAGGAACACCAGUGGCGAAGGCGGCUUACUGGCUCGAUACUGACGCUGAGGUGCGAAAGCGUGGGGAGCAAACAGGAUUAGAUACCCCCGUAGUCCCUGUCUCUUAUAC
Molecule: ribosomal RNA, 301 nt
Filed under: uncultured bacterium
Lineage: Bacteria
Description: partial 16S ribosomal RNA
Rfam family: Bacterial small subunit ribosomal RNA
Source: RNAcentral